RNAcentral lists this ribosomal RNA (253 nucleotides) under uncultured bacterium. Its description in RNAcentral is "partial 16S ribosomal RNA". It matches the Rfam family "Bacterial small subunit ribosomal RNA", at positions 524 to 776 of the family's 1533-position model. The record is from RNAcentral.
UACGUAGGGGGCAAGCGUUGUCCGGAUUUAUUGGGCGUAAAGAGCGUGUAGGCGGUCAGGUAGGUCCGUUGUGAAAACUCGAGGCUCAACCUCGAGACGCCGAUGGAAACCAUCUGACUAGAGUCCGGAAGAGGAGAGUGGAAUUCCUGGUGUAGCGGUGAAAUGCGCAGAUAUCAGGAAGAACACCCGUGGCUAAGGCGGCUCACUGGACCGGUACUGACGCUGAUGCGCGAAAGCGUGGGGAGCAAACGGG